CCUACGGGAGGCAGCAGUGAGGAAUAUUGGUCAAUGGACGCAAGUCUGAACCAGCCAUGCCGCGUGCAGGAUGACGGCCCUAUGAGUUGUACACUGCUUUUGUACGAGGGUAAACGCCGAUACGCGUAUCUGUCUGAAAGUAUCGUACGAAUAAGCAUCGGCUAACUCCGUGCCAGCAGCCGCGGUAAUACGGAGGAUUCAAGCGUUAUCCGGAUUUAUUGGGUUUAAAGGGUGCGUAGGCGGUCGGAUAAGUUAGAGGUGAAAUCCCGAGGCUCAACCUCGGAAUGGCCUUUGAUACUGUUCGGCUAGAGAAUAGUUGAGGUAGGCGGAA
Molecule: ribosomal RNA, 331 nt
Filed under: uncultured bacterium
Lineage: Bacteria
Description: partial 16S ribosomal RNA
Rfam family: Bacterial small subunit ribosomal RNA
Source: RNAcentral